RNAcentral lists this microRNA precursor (61 nucleotides) under Pristionchus pacificus. Its description in RNAcentral is "mir-8364 microRNA precursor family". It matches the Rfam family "mir-8364 microRNA precursor family". The record is from Rfam by way of RNAcentral. Lineage: Eukaryota; Metazoa; Nematoda; Chromadorea; Rhabditida; Neodiplogasteridae.
UCUUCAUUUCACGUGCUCUCUCACCGGUCAGAGAGGCGAGAGUGCAUGUGCAAUGAAGAGA